GUAUGUGCCUGGCUCCCUGUAUGCCAUAUAUGAAGCUCAUUGAAAAAUCAAUGACCUUUGUGGAUGGCGUAUGAGGAGCCAAGCAUAUUCC
RNAcentral lists this microRNA precursor (91 nucleotides) under Medicago truncatula (barrel medic). Its description in RNAcentral is "miR160b stem-loop (mtr-MIR160b, mtr-MIR160e)". Its record names the gene mtr-MIR160b. It matches the Rfam family "mir-160 microRNA precursor family". Rfam says of the family: The hairpin precursors (represented here) are predicted based on base pairing and cross-species conservation -- their extents are not known. In this case the mature sequence is excised from the 5' arm of the hairpin. Lineage: Eukaryota; Viridiplantae; Streptophyta; Magnoliopsida; Fabales; Fabaceae. The record is from miRBase by way of RNAcentral.